This 392-nucleotide ribosomal RNA is filed under the name uncultured bacterium. RNAcentral describes it as "partial 16S ribosomal RNA". It matches the Rfam family "Bacterial small subunit ribosomal RNA", at positions 523 to 918 of the family's 1533-position model. The record is from RNAcentral.
AUACGGAGGAUCCGAGCGUUAUCCGGAUUUAUUGGGUUUAAAGGGUGCGCAGGCGGCCAUUUAAGUCAGCGGUUAAAUCGUGGGGCUCAACCCCAUUCUGCCGUUGAUACUGGGUGGCUUGAUUGCGGUCGAGGUUGGCGGAAUUCGUUGUGUAGCGGUGAAAUGCAUAGAUAUGACGAAGAACACCGAUUGCGUAGGCAGCUGACCAGACCGCAAAUGACGCUCAUGCACGAAAGUGCGGGGAUCGAACAGGAUUAGAUACCCUGGUAGUCCGCACAGUAAACGAUGAAUACUGGUUUUCGGCGAUAUAAUGUCGGAGGCAAAGCGAAAGCGAUAAGUAUUCCACCUGGGGAGUACGCCGGCAACGGUGAAACUCGAAGGAAUUGACGGGG